Molecule: non-coding RNA, 278 nt
Organism: Pelobates cultripes (western spadefoot toad)
Lineage: Eukaryota; Metazoa; Chordata; Amphibia; Anura; Pelobatidae
Source: the annotation of a GenBank genome assembly
UAGCAAUUCCCCUCCAAUCACGAGACAAGACUACGUGUUGAGGAUCAAGUUGGAACUCAAGGUUUAAUGGGGCACACUGGCCUUUUACACAAGUUUUACAACAAAGGUGACGACCAGGUGGACCUAGUUGGGCACCGAGACACAAGAUUAACAAGCCAAUAGAAACAGUAACAAUGAACAACACUCCCACAUACAUUACACAAUACCUCCCCUCUGCCUGUGAUACAAUUAAAGUAGAUAAUACAAUAACCCAAUUAACCACAAUCAGAAAAACACUA